Molecule: long non-coding RNA, 969 nt
Filed under: Ornithorhynchus anatinus (platypus)
Lineage: Eukaryota; Metazoa; Chordata; Mammalia; Monotremata; Ornithorhynchidae
Description: lncRNA (ENSOANG00000039017.1)
Source: RNAcentral
GGAAGGAACACUGAAGUGACUUGUCCAAGGUCAACCUGCAAGUCAGAAAUAGCAGAGCCAGGGACAGGAGGGAGCUGGGGGAGCAGGUUUCCUGACACUAAAUCCAAGGCAUUAUACACAGCGAAACCUACUUGCAACAGGCAACUGACAGCACGGGAAAGUUACUGGGAACCUAACCACAGUCAGGGAAGCCACAGAAAGCCUGACCUCUUGGGGCUGGGGCUAUGGGAUGGCAGAGUUAUCAGAUUUCAGGCUGAAUGCUAGAGGCCAUUCUGUGUGUUUAUAGCUAAGUGGUCAUAGAUACAGAGAGCUAUAGUGCUAGGGCUAAGAGUUUGUCACAUUGUAAGCAAUAAAUGCAAUACUUUGCACCUAGAAAUUGCCUUUCAUCUAUGGAUCACACAGUACUUAUAUAGAUAAAGUAACUGGGGGCUCUCUCAACAGGUCUCUGCUAAGCGGUAUGAAGAGGGAGUGGAGAAAGCUCCAGCAAGAGGUAACAAACAACUUUAAACCCAGGCAGCAACUGUUCCUCCAGACCAACGCCAUCCUUUUCUCCUCUUUCGCCUGCUCUGAGUUUGUCAUUAUGGGCCUCUUUUUCUUGCUGAUUCAUGGUGGGGAAGAAAGAGGACAAGGGCAUAGGAAAAGCAACAGGAGGGACCUGCUACUGAGAAGCUUUGGCAUAAGAAUUGACAACUACGGAAAGAUGGAAGAUGGGAAGAAGAAAAGAAAGCUCCUGGAGAUAUAACUUGAAUUUGACUUGACAGUCUUUACUCAAAAUGAUUGAGAAACAUGAAUGCCUCUUAGAAGAAAAGGUCAAUUCUCCCUGUUUUGUAGAGUCUGUAAAUAGAAGGCCCACGGGAUCGUGCAAAACAAAGUUGAGGGAAACCAGAGUGUCGUGGUGCCUUGCAAGGGUUUAUGACAACUUUGUCCCUGCAAUCUCACAGAGAUACAUGUACCCAUCCUUCAAAAUAG